This is a long non-coding RNA of Ixodes scapularis (black-legged tick), 448 nucleotides long. RefSeq lists it as uncharacterized. The record is from RefSeq and is a predicted model, not a curated record. The transcript is spliced from 3 exons. Lineage: Eukaryota; Metazoa; Arthropoda; Arachnida; Ixodida; Ixodidae.
AAUGGGUGCUCGGGCAACGAUGGCAAAGGUCCAUGUCAGGAGCGUUGCACUCCUUCACCUAACAAUGGAUACAGCUGUUCUUGCAUAAGUCCCGGGACAGAGCUCUCGACCGACGGGGUUUCGUGCGACAAGUUGUCUGUUGUACCCGAGGACACGUAUGAGUAUAUCUGGCCGUCAAACUCAACUGGCUUUUCAAACAGCAGCGAUGGGAUUGAUGAUAUCGAGGGUUCUGGGAUGGAGGAGGAGACACCGUCCGGAAAGAAAGACGCGGAUCGCGUCACGCCGGAAUGUCCGAUAGGAUUUGCUCCAGUCAACGGCACAUGCGAAGAUAUCAACGAAUGCUCCUCCGGGACCAGCAACUUGUGUGCCCACAUCUGCAACAACACCAUUGGAAGUUUUCGCUGUAGCUGCAGGGAAGGAUACACGUUGAGCGAGACUGGGACCGGCU